This 261-nucleotide ribosomal RNA is filed under the name uncultured prokaryote. RNAcentral describes it as "partial 16S ribosomal RNA". It matches the Rfam family "Bacterial small subunit ribosomal RNA", at positions 524 to 784 of the family's 1533-position model. The record is from RNAcentral.
UACGUAGGUGGCGAGCGUUAUCCGGAAUUAUUGGGCGUAAAGAGCGCGCAGGUGGUUGAUUAAGUCUGAUGUGAAAGCCCACGGCUUAACCGUGUAGGGUCAUUGGAAACUGGUCAACUUGAGUGCAGAAGAGGGAAGUGGAACUCCAUGUGUAGCGGUGAAAUGCGUAGAGAUAUGGAGGAACACCAGUGGCGAAGGCGGCUUCCUGGUCUGUAACUGACACUGAGGCGCGAAAGCGUGGGGAGCAAACAGGAUUAGAUA